GGGGAAUCUUGGACAAUGGGCGAAAGCCUGAUCCAGCGACGCCGCGUGGAGGAAGAAGUCCUUCGGGAUGUAAACUUCUGAACUAGCCGAAUAAAAGGCCUGUGGACACACAGGAGAAGAAAGUAGGCUAGGAAAAGUCCCGGCUAACUACGUGCCAGCAGCCGCGGUAAGACGUAGGAGGCGAGCGUUAUCCGGAUUUACUGGGCGUAAAGGGCAAGUAGGCGGCGGUUCAAGUUGGACGUGACAUCUCCCGGCUCAACUGGGAGGGGUCGUUCAAAACUGGGUCGCUGGAGGGCAGGAGAGGGGAGCGGAAGUCCUGGUGUAGCGGUGGAAUGCUCAGAUACCAGGAGGAACACCAGUGGCGAAGGCGGCUUCCUGGCCUGUACCUGACGCUGAGAGGCGAAAGCCAGGGGAGCGAACG
RNAcentral lists this ribosomal RNA (421 nucleotides) under uncultured bacterium. Its description in RNAcentral is "bacterial SSU rRNA". It matches the Rfam family "Bacterial small subunit ribosomal RNA", at positions 356 to 774 of the family's 1533-position model. The record is from RNAcentral.